AAAAAGCAGUACUGGUCGGCCUACAGUCACUCCCAUAACAUCUGAUGAUGAUGACGCUGCGGAAGCAGGUCCAUCAAAAGAAGUCUUGAGCAGCAGAAGGCGGACUCCUGUAGCACACCAAACAAUAAUACAUGUGCCAACAAAGAAAGCAAGGUCUGAUGUCCAAUCACAACCACAGCAGUCUACCUCGCCACGAAGAUUGUCUACAGUUUCUUUGGUCCCACCACUCCAAAUUUUGGUCACACCUCCAAGACGCCAACCACACUCCCCUCAUCUUGAUUAUUCUAGUACUGGUACCAGCAUCCUGACGCAAUAGCAGCAACACAGUGACAUGGAUGAGACAAUCAUGUUACAAAUGCAGCCAUUAAUCAAAGGAAUCAGCCACCCAGCACCUGUGAGUACAUCACCACAGCAAAGCACUCCACCACCACAACACAGCCCGACAACAGCAGUAGCACAAGGCCCUGAUCAAGUGUUUUGGGACAGUUGGGCUACACAGCAGGCCACUAAUCAAGAUUGCCUGCGUAGGCAGACCCAAAUUUUUGCUAACCUACCAUCUCACCUCAGAAGAAUCAGCAGAAAUAUCAGUCACCAACAACCACCAGAAUUGCCAAUACCAUGGAAAUAAUGCGUGCAGACAUUACACAUGUCAUGGGCAACUUACAACACAUAAUGGAAGAACAGCACAGACAACAGCAAAGCUACAUCAACAUCUUAGAAAACAAUCAAAUGAUCAAUGAAUAUAUCACCAGAAUUUUAGAGAAUCAAAAUGCUGCAACACGUGAACUUAAUGCCACCCUCACAAACCUCAAUGAAACACUCAGAUCCCAGCACCAACAGCAACCAAGCAGCAGUUCUGGUAUGACUACUCCUAUUCUAUCGCCAGUGUCCUCACCACCAAGGCACUCCACCAGAGCACGCCAACACGACAGUGGUAAAUGCAAAGGCCAGUCCAAGCAGCCAACCCCAAAAAAAUAAAAAAUAGAGACACCGAUUUCUGUAUAGAGAAGAAAAUAAUCACAGUUAGUAAGUGUAGGUUUGUCUCAAUAUAUAUAACACUUAGCACCUUGUCAAUUUGUUGAACAUCAUUAAUUAUAAGUGUUACAAACAACAACAGGAUUUUUGCCAACACAUUUAUUCUUUAACAUCUUUGUAUUUUUUUGGAGGAAAAAGUAAUUUGAUCUGCACAUUGCUCGUAGCAUGCAGUAACAAGACCACUUGAUUUUUUUCUAAUCAUUACUCUUUCUAGAUUCCAAUCAUUCUCAUAUCUUGCAGGCAGACUAAUUGGCAGCCAUGCAGAUUCAUCCAUGACCAAUACAACUUACAAUGUGAUUUUUAACUCUUUUACAUUUCUACUCUAGAUGACAUUACAAAAAUAACACAAUUGAGUUGCCUAAAAAGGUACUAAUAUGUUGUGAAACAAUUUAGAUAAUUCAGUCCCAAAAUAAAUGACAUUAUUGUUGUGCCAUGUUUGUGUGUGUUAAAAAUGAGUAAUCAGAUUAUUACACAUGAUGCAGCAACAAAGAAAUUAAAAAUAUUUUAAUCUACACAAAUAAUGUGUAUAAUAAUGAAUAUAUGUUGAAAACGGUGUAUUGACUUACAAAUCACCAAGUUUAC
Pseudophryne corroboree (corroboree frog) is the source of this 1617-nucleotide long non-coding RNA. RefSeq lists it as uncharacterized. The transcript has 3 exons. NCBI's taxonomy places the organism in Eukaryota, Metazoa, Chordata, Amphibia, Anura, Myobatrachidae. The record is from RefSeq and is a predicted model, not a curated record.